AGUGAACGCUGGCGGUAGGCCUAACACAUGCAAGUCGAACGGCAGCACAGUAAGAGCUUGCUCUUACGGGUGGCGAGUGGCGGACGGGUGAGGAAUACAUCGGAAUCUACUUUUUCGUGGGGGAUAACGUAGGGAAACUUACGCUAAUACCGCAUACGACCUACGGGUGAAAGCAGGGGUUCUUCGGACCUUGCGCGAUUGAAUGAGCCGAUGUCGGAUUGGCUAGUUGGGGGGGUAAAGGCCCACCAAGGCGACGAUCCGUAGCUGGUCUGAGAGGGUGAUCAGCCACACUGGAACUGAGACACGGUCCAGACUCCUACGGGAGGCAGCAGUGGGGAAUAUUGGACAAUGGGCGCAAGCCUGAUCCAGCCAUACCGCGUGGGUGAAGAAGGCCUUCGGGUUGUAAAGCCCUUUUGUUGGGAAAGAAAAGCAGCAGGUUAAUACCCCGCUGUUCUGACGGUACCCAAAGAAUAAGCACCGGCUAACUUCGUG
RNAcentral lists this ribosomal RNA (492 nucleotides) under uncultured bacterium. RNAcentral describes it as "partial 16S ribosomal RNA". It matches the Rfam family "Bacterial small subunit ribosomal RNA", at positions 29 to 507 of the family's 1533-position model. The record is from RNAcentral.